RNAcentral lists this ribosomal RNA (407 nucleotides) under uncultured bacterium. RNAcentral describes it as "partial 16S ribosomal RNA". It matches the Rfam family "Bacterial small subunit ribosomal RNA", at positions 30 to 526 of the family's 1533-position model. The record is from RNAcentral.
AUUGAACGCUGGCGGCAGGCCUAACACAUGCAAGUCGAGCGGAGCGGCGGACGGGUGAGUAAUGCCUGGGAAUCUGCCUGGUAGUGGGGGAUAACGUCCGGAAACGGGCGCUAAUACCGCAUACUCUCAGAUGAGCCUAGGUCGGAUUAGCUAGUGGUGGGGGUAAAGGCCUACAAAGGCGACGAUCCGUAACUGGUCUGCGAGGAUGAUCAGUCACACUGGAACUGCGACACGGUCCAGACUCUGACGGGAGGCAGCAGUGGGGAAUAGUGGACAAUGGGCGAAAGCCUGAUCCAGCCAUGCCGCGGGUGUGAAGAAGGUCUUCGGAUUGUAAAGCACUUUAAGUUGGGAGGCGUUACCAACAGAAUAAGCACCGGCUAACUCCGUGCCAGCCGCCGCGGUAAUUC